UUGCUGGGUGGAUUAGUGGCGACGGGUGAGUAACACGUGAGUAACCUGCCCUUAACUCUGGGAUAAGCCUGGGAAACUGGGUCUAAUACCGGAUAGGAGCGUCCACCGCAUGGUGGGUGUUGGAAAGAUUUAUCGGUUUUGGAUGGACUCGCGGCCUAUCAGCUUGUUGGUGAGGUAAUGGCUCACCAAGGCGACGACGGGUAGCCGGCCUGAGAGGGUGACCGGCCACACUGGGACUGAGACACGGCCCAGACUCCUACGGGAGGCAGCAGUGGGGAAUAUUGCACAAUGGGCGAAAGCCUGAUGCAGCGACGCCGCGUGAGGGAUGACGGCCUUCGGGUUGUAAACCUCUUUCAGUAGGGAAGAAGCGAAAGUGACGGUACCUGCAGAAGAAGCACCGGCUAACUACGUGCCAGCAGCCGCGGUAAUACGUAGGGUGCGAGCGUUAUCCGGAAUUAUUGGGCGUAAAGAGCUCGUAGGCGGUUUGUCGCGUCUGUCGUGAAAGUCCGGGGCUUAACCCCGGAUCUGCGGUGGGUACGGGCAGACUAGAGUGCAGUAGGGGAGACUGGAAUUCCUGGUGUAGCGGUGGAAUGCGCAGAUAUCAGGAGGAACACCGAUGGCGAAGGCAGGUCUCUGGGCUGUAACUGACGCUGAGGAGCGAAAGCAUGGGGAGCGAACAGGAUUAGAUACCCUGGUAGUCCAUGCCGUAAACGUUGGGCACUAGGUGUGGGGACCAUUCCACGGUUUCCGCGCCGCAGCUAACGCAUUAAGUGCCCCGCCUGGGGAGUACGGCCGCAAGGCUAAAACUCAAAGGAAUUGACGGGGGCCCGCACAAGCGGCGGAGCAUGCGGAUUAAUUCGAUGCAACGCGAAGAACCUUACCAAGGCUUGACAUGUUCUCGAUCGCCGUAGAGAUACGGUUUCCCCUUUGGGGGCGGGUUCACAGGGUGGUGCAUGGUUGUCGUCAGCUCGUGUCKUGAGAUGUUGGGUUAAGUCCCGCAACGAGCGCAACCCUCGUUCCAUGUUGCCAGCACGUCGUGGUGGGGACUCAUGGGAGACUGCCGGGGUCAACUCGGAGGAAGGUGAGGACGACGUCAAAUCAUCAUGCCCCUUAUGUCUUGGGCUUCACGCAUGCUACAAUGGCCGGUACAAUGGGUUGCGAUACUGUGAGGUGGAGCUAAUCCCAAAAAGCCGGUCUCAGUUCGGAUUGGGGUCUGCAACUCGACCCCAUGA
RNAcentral lists this ribosomal RNA (1232 nucleotides) under Micrococcus luteus. Its description in RNAcentral is "bacterial SSU rRNA". It matches the Rfam family "Bacterial small subunit ribosomal RNA", at positions 80 to 1323 of the family's 1533-position model. The record is from RNAcentral. Lineage: Bacteria; Bacillati; Actinomycetota; Actinomycetes; Micrococcales; Micrococcaceae.